CUUGUUUAUAAAACAUAUUCAGAUUUUUAGUGGGGAGAUGGUAGGAAGUUGUUAGCUCCUUGUGAGAAGAGUUUCUCUGCUUAUUAUGUUACAUCAUUUUUUGCUAUUGUUGUUUCUCGGUCCUGCUUUAAAAAAAAAAAAAAAAAAGAAAGGCAAAUAAGUAUAGGAACAGUAAAAACUUCCUGUAUGUUCAUGAAAGAAAUAUGUCCUUUGUUUAGUUCUUUUGCACAUUUGACCAAGUAUGAUUUUUCCUCUUUUUUAAUCUUAAGCAUCAUUUAAUUUGGAAGAAACUUUUAACAUUUUCUGAAAUAUAAUUGCAAGAAAACUAUUUCUUGCUGGAAACUUUAUAAACCCUUUAUUUCUCUAAGGAGAAAACUGGGUUGAUAUUUUCCAUCCCUCACAUGCCUGUGAUGAGAUAACUGACAGCAGCUGUUGGAGUGGGACAGGUACUAGAGGCAGCUUCCAUCAGCCCAGCUGGGCUGGGGCUGCUGCUGGAGCUCUGGGUAUUCAGAGUGGGCUGGCAGCUGGCUGGGUCAGGAGCUGUGCUAGUGCAUGCAGGUACACUUGAAAACAAUCCAAGAAAAUGAUGAGGGUUUGCUUCUGAUGUAAUGACGUAUCCCCCUGACAUCACAGUGAAGAAUGAAUGUUUCUCCCUACAAAAAUCACAGAGCUAUAAGAACACAUUUGGGAGGAAGGAAAGGGGGAAGGAAAAAAGAAAACGAUACACAAACACAUUUGAAAACUACAGCUACUUCAGUGAAAAAGUAACCAAAAAUGUCUUGGCUGAAAUCAGGCACUGCCCGUGGCCCUCCCGUGCUCCCAGGACACAGCCCUCCAGGGCAUGGGAUCAUUCUGCUCAGGGCUGCUGUUUCAAUAGAGCUCCGUUCUCGGCCUCGUCAUUUAAGUUCCCCAUUUAAUUUAUAUAUAAAAAAUUCAACAGGUUUAAUGUUCCAGUUUCUCAUUCUUUUAAUUAAAAUGGAAAAUAUGCCCCUUUGUGUACCUCUUCAAGUACUGAAGAUUUGAGCCAUCUAAGACAGCUGUAAAGAAGAUUUUGCAGAACUUUGUGUUUCUGUCUUGUUCCUUAAGAUACACUGGACAAAAGAGAGAUGAUAAACUUUAAAUGUUGAAUUUAUUAGAAGCAUAACGAACAAUAAUAAACUUGAUUUUACCAAGGCA
Molecule: long non-coding RNA, 1176 nt
Filed under: Anas platyrhynchos platyrhynchos (common mallard)
Lineage: Eukaryota; Metazoa; Chordata; Aves; Anseriformes; Anatidae
Description: lncRNA (ENSAPLG00000023357.1)
Source: RNAcentral